AGUGAACGCUGGCGGUAGGCCUAACACAUGCAAGUCGAACGGCAGCACAGUAAGAGCUUGCUCUUACGGGUGGCGAGUGGCGGACGGGUGAGGAAUACAUCGGAAUCUACUUUUUCGUGGGGGAUAACGUAGGGAAACUUACGCUAAUACCGCAUACGACCUACGGGUGAAAGCAGGGGAUCUUCGGACCUUUCGCGAUUGAAUGAGCCGAUGUCGGAUUAGCUAGUUGGCGGGGUAAAGGCCCACCAAGGCGACGAUACGUAGCUGGUCUGGGAGGAUGAUCAGCCACACUGGAACUGAGACACGGUCCAGACUCCUACGGGAGGCAGCAGUGGGGAAUAUUGGACAAUGGGCGCAAGCCUGAUCCAGCCAUACCGCGUGGGUGAAGAAGGCCUUCGGGUUGUAAAGCCCUUUUGUUGGGAAAGAAAAGCAGCAGGUUAAUACCCCGCUGUUCUGACGGUACCCAAAGAAUAAGCACCGGCUAACUUCGUG
RNAcentral lists this ribosomal RNA (492 nucleotides) under uncultured bacterium. RNAcentral describes it as "partial 16S ribosomal RNA". It matches the Rfam family "Bacterial small subunit ribosomal RNA", at positions 29 to 507 of the family's 1533-position model. The record is from RNAcentral.